RNAcentral lists this long non-coding RNA (670 nucleotides) under Sorghum bicolor (sorghum). RNAcentral describes it as "long non-coding RNA (SBIC_LNC010917)". The record is from RNAcentral. Lineage: Eukaryota; Viridiplantae; Streptophyta; Magnoliopsida; Poales; Poaceae.
UGGGGAGUAAUACACAAGGAAUGCAAUCUAAAUUCUAGUUGCUGUAAAGUUAAGUGACGAUCCAAACUAGAAGUUCUCUGCCUAGUGCUGACCACAAGAUAUGAAAGAAGUAAAUGAUCACACACACGCGCAAAGGAAAUUCAGAUUUGAUGCAAACAAGGAGUAUGAUUGAGAUGCAAGUGUUGCAAUCAGACCCAACCAAAAUAUUGCACCAAACAAAGAUAGCAAACUGGUUGUUCAACUCAAUACAAAAACUUUCAGCAAUGAUGCACUUGACAUAACCGAUCUUGCAGCUUUCUUUCUAAAAUUUUUUUCUUCUCUCUUUUUUUUGACACACUUUUAUUUUUAUAACUAAACACAAUGAUCAGAUAUAAUACUUACAAACUUGAUGAUAGAAACAAAGCACAACCAGAAACUAUAACUUGAUAGGAUCAAUGAUAACACAAAGGAUGAUAUAGGCUAUAGAAUUUUUUUUGGGGGAUUUUUAGAUAUAAAAGAGGCACAAAGAACACGCGAAGGAUAAAUGAUCAGCAACUAAAACAAAGACUCUAAUGGACUGCGACUUAACUGAGCUCACUAAAAUAAAAGAUUGAAACAAAGGUCUAAGCAAUAUAUUUUUCUGGCAUUUUGGUGGAUAGGAUGAAGCAAAAAUAUAUAUAUGUAGCUAGGG